GCUAAGCCGGAGAAUAUUGACUUGGCCGUGCAGUGCCUGAAUGAACUUAUAACCAAUGCACUGCACCACAUCCCAGAUGUCAUCACCUACCUUUCGAGACUCAGAAACCAGAGUGUGUUUAACUUCUGUGCUAUUCCACAGGUGAUGGCCAUUGCCACUUUGGCUGCCUGUUAUAAUAACCAGCAGGUGUUCAAAGGGGCAGUGAAGAUUCGGAAAGGGCAAGCAGUGACCCUGAUGAUGGAUGCCACCAAUAUGCCAGCUGUCAAAGCCAUCAUAUAUCAGUAUAUGGAAGAGGUGGGUUUUUAUUUAACUACUUGGAUAAUUUGUAGCUACUUUUAUGAUUUAGUAAUGUCACUGUUUAACCAGGUUUGGAUAUUAGAUGAUCCUAACAAUUCACUAUCCUAUGGCCUAAAGAGAC
This 418-nucleotide small RNA is filed under the name Pan troglodytes (chimpanzee). RNAcentral describes it as "retained intron". Lineage: Eukaryota; Metazoa; Chordata; Mammalia; Primates; Hominidae. The record is from RNAcentral.